UGCAUGAAGUUGGAAUCGCUAGUAAUCGCGGAUCAGCAUGCCGCGGUGAAUACGUUCCCGGGCCUUGUACACACCGCCCGUCACACCAUGAGAGUCGGGAACACCCGAAGUCCGUAGCCUAACCGCAAGGGGGCGCGGCCGAAGGUGGGUUCGAUAAUUGGGGUGAAGUCGUAACAAGGUAGC
Molecule: ribosomal RNA, 183 nt
Filed under: uncultured bacterium
Lineage: Bacteria
Description: partial 16S ribosomal RNA
Rfam family: Bacterial small subunit ribosomal RNA
Source: RNAcentral